Unclassified non-coding RNA from Chlorocebus sabaeus (green monkey), 103 nucleotides. It matches the Rfam family "Y RNA". Rfam says of the family: Y RNAs are components of the Ro ribonucleoprotein particle (Ro RNP), in association with Ro60 and La proteins. The Y RNAs and Ro60 and La proteins are well conserved, but the function of the Ro RNP is not known. NCBI's taxonomy places the organism in Eukaryota, Metazoa, Chordata, Mammalia, Primates, Cercopithecidae. The record is from Ensembl.
GGCUGGUUGGAGUGCAGCAGUGUUUACAAUUAAUUGAUCAGAAUCAGUUAUAAAUUUAUUGUUUUCUUCUCCACUCCUGCUGCUUCAGUUGACUAAGCCUAAG